AUUGAACGCCGGCGGCAUGCCUUACACAUGCAAGUCGAACGGCAGCACGGGAGCAAUCCUGGUGGCGAGUGGCGAACGGGUGAGUAAUGUAUCGGAACGUGCCCAGUCGUGGGGGAUAACGUAGCGAAAGCUACGCUAAUACCGCAUACGAUCUAUGGAUGAAAGCGGGGGAUCGCAAGACCUCGCGCGAUUGGAGCGGCCGAUAUCAGAUUAGGUAGUUGGUGGGGUAAAGGCUCACCAAGCCGACGAUCUGUAGCUGGUCUGAGAGGACGACCAGCCACACUGGGACUGAGACACGGCCCAGACUCCUACGGGAGGCAGCAGUGGGGAAUUUUGGACAAUGGGCGCAAGCCUGAUCCAGCAAUGCCGCGUGCAGGAUGAAGGCCUUCGGGUUGUAAACUGCUUUUGUACGGAACGAAACGGUGAGCUCUAAUACAGUUUGCUAAUGACGGUACCGUAAGAAUAAGCACCGGCUAACUACGUGCCAGCAGCCGCAGUAA
RNAcentral lists this ribosomal RNA (500 nucleotides) under uncultured bacterium. RNAcentral describes it as "partial 16S ribosomal RNA". It matches the Rfam family "Bacterial small subunit ribosomal RNA", at positions 30 to 523 of the family's 1533-position model. The record is from RNAcentral.